Molecule: long non-coding RNA, 1529 nt
Organism: Oncorhynchus tshawytscha (Chinook salmon)
Lineage: Eukaryota; Metazoa; Chordata; Actinopteri; Salmoniformes; Salmonidae
Source: Ensembl
CAUGAGCCCACUUUCCACUUCUGUUGUAUAAUGUUAAAUGAACUUCCAUAAAUACAGAUUGCAUGCAGUGCCAAACAUUCAUUUGUACCAUUACGACCAUGUUCCUCUUCUCACAGUUUUUGUGACUGACAGUAACAUUGGUGCCCUAGAAGCCAACUAACAGGGAAUGUAGGAGGACUCUGACCUUGUGGACUGACUUUAGUCUGACAUGCAGUUUAUUUUUUAGUUGUUCGGGAAUGGGAAGCGCUUUGUUCCUAGAAUGGAAAUGUUGUUGUUAGAACUAAACCGCGGUUCUCCUAAAUAAGAUGGACAUAGAAUACACUGUCUGUGAAUAAACAAAGAACAAAUUAAUGUUGUCCAUUAAAUCAUCAAUGUAUUUAUUAUAAUUAAUUUAUAAUGGGACGAUUGGAUGGAACUUCUAUCAAAUAAUGGUCAUUUGAAGCGAGUGGAAAGGUUACUUCCUCUCUCCCCUCUGGAAAAUGAUUUAGAUGUUCUUCAUUUUACUGCCAUAGACCAAUACUUCCACUAUGUGAUAUAGUGCUAAAGAUGUGAUCUGUGUCUGAGGAAGUAUUUUGCCAAUGUAUUUAGUCUUUCCACCAGGGGUUUUUCCAUUUAACCACGACUGCCAAGUGUACCGAUUGUUUUGUUGUUGAACUGGAUAGAAGAACAUUGCUGAGCAAAAUUGAUCCUGAACCAUUUUUUGCCAACAGUGGUGUUGUACAGAGAAAGCCAGCGUAGACGUUUCAGAUGAAUGGAUAUUUCCUGACUAUUGAGAACUUCUCUGCCAAUUUGAUUUGAAUCAUCAAACUUCACAGCCUUUAUCUGAAUUAGUAUUGUUUAAGUUUCUAUAAUAUUCUGACUGCCAGAAGUAGUCGCACCAUAGAUAUUAGUUGGCACUCCUUCUCCAUGUUAGGAUCCUGCCACCAUAGAAGUCAUCUACAUGUUUCCAAGGGUUGCCCUGGUGUUAGUCUUGGUACCCCCAUGGACUUCUGUUUAAACUUAGAUAGUUGAGGACAACUUCCAGUAACUUGUUCAUGCUGUAGUGCUUGUAGCUAGAAGGAAGAUGUUAUCAGACUCAAAGUGAACUUUAUCCUGAGUCUCUUAGUAAGUGAAUGUUUUUGAGAUGGAUCUUUAGGACUACCUGCAUGACAUGGGGCUCUAAGACACACCGUAGGGUACCCCAGGGGUCUAUAUUUUUCACUUUACAGUGAUACAUUGUUAGACUCAGCUGCAUACAUAGGAUUGCUUCAUUGUUUGAAAACUUGUUAUUGGAUAUUGAUUAUGUGAUUUUUAUUUUUUCAAAAAUGCAGUUGCAAUUUAUUGAUUCUGAUAAAGCGUUUUGUGUUGAACUAACUAAAGCUGCCAACCCAGUAUCAGUCAGUCGUCUGCCAUGUCUGUUAGACAGACACACCUUUUGGUUUUUGUAUGCUAACCUCUGUUAAUAAAAUGUUUAUAAAGUUUAUUUUCGCCAAAGAUAUGCAAUUGCAUUAUAUAUGGUAUUACAAAAUAAAAAAAAUAUUGUUUUAUCA